CGGCGGACGGGUGAGUACGCGUGGGUAACCUACCCUGUACACACGGAUAACAUACCGAAAGGUAUGCUAAUACGGGAUAAUAUAUUUGAGAGGCAUCUCUUGAAUAUCAAAGGUGAGCCAGUACAGGAUGGACCCGCGUCUGAUUAGCUAGUUGGUAAGGUAACGGCUUACCAAGGCGACGAUCAGUAGCCGACCUGAGAGGGUGAUCGGCCACAUUGGAACUGAGACACGGUCCAA
Molecule: ribosomal RNA, 237 nt
Filed under: uncultured bacterium
Lineage: Bacteria
Description: partial 16S ribosomal RNA
Rfam family: Bacterial small subunit ribosomal RNA
Source: RNAcentral